This 466-nucleotide ribosomal RNA is filed under the name uncultured bacterium. RNAcentral's name for it is "partial 16S ribosomal RNA". It matches the Rfam family "Bacterial small subunit ribosomal RNA", at positions 28 to 507 of the family's 1533-position model. The record is from RNAcentral.
GAUGAACGCUGGCGGCGUGCUUAACACAUGCAAGUCGAACGGAAAGGCCAUACCUUUCUGUGGUACUCGAGUGGCGAACGGGUGAGUAACACGUGAGUGAUCUGCCCUGUACUUCGGGAUAAGCUCGGGAAACUGGGGCUAAUACCGGAUAGGAAUCACAUCUGGGUGUGUGGUUGGAAAGCUUUUGCGGUAUGGGAUGGGCUCGCGGCCUAUCAGCUUGUUGGUGGGGUAAUGGCCUACCAAGGCGUCGACGGGUAGCCGGCCUGAGAGGGUGUACGGCCACAUUGGGACUGAGAUACGGCCCAGACUCCUACGGGAGGCAGCAGUGGGGAAUAUUGCACAAUGGGCGGAAGCCUGAUGCAGCAACGCCGCGUGGGGGAUGACGGCCUUCGGGUUGUAAACCGCUUUCGUCAGGGACGAAGCGAAAGUGACGGUAACUGGAAAAGAAGCACCGGCUAACUACGUG